AACGAACGCUGGCGGCAGGCCUUAUACAUGCAAGUCGAGCGCCCUCUUCGGAGGGAGCGGCGGACGGGUGAGUAACGCGUGGGAAUAUGCCUUUUGGUACGGAACAGCCCAGGGAAACUUGGAUUAAUACCGUAUGUGCCCUUCGGGGGAAAGAUUUAUCGCCAAGAGAUUGGCCCGCGUCUGAUUAGGUAGUUGGUGGGGUAAUGGCCUACCAAGCCGACGAUCAGUAGCUGGUUUGAGAGGAUGAUCAGCCACACUGGGACUGAGACACGGCCCAGACUCCUACGGGAGGCAGCAGUAGGGAAUCUUGGACAAUGGGCGCAAGCCUGAUCCAGCCAUGCCGCGUGAGCGAUGAAGGCCUUAGGGUUGUAAAGCUCUUUCAUCGGUGAAGAUAAUGACGGUAGCCGAAGAAGAAGUCCCGGCUAACUCCGUGCCAGCAGCCGCGGUAAU
This 450-nucleotide ribosomal RNA is filed under the name uncultured bacterium. Its description in RNAcentral is "bacterial SSU rRNA". It matches the Rfam family "Bacterial small subunit ribosomal RNA", at positions 29 to 524 of the family's 1533-position model. The record is from RNAcentral.